Molecule: long non-coding RNA, 236 nt
Organism: Salarias fasciatus (jewelled blenny)
Lineage: Eukaryota; Metazoa; Chordata; Actinopteri; Blenniiformes; Blenniidae
Exons: 3
Source: RefSeq, a predicted model, not a curated record
CCCCAACCUGCUGGGCGCGGCUCCCGGGAAGACGGUCCACGGCAUGCAGGCUCACAUCAGCGAGACGGGCUUCAACCUGGCCGUGACCGGACACAACACCUUCAAUCUCCCCGACCAGACCAGACAUCUGAUCGACACUUUGAGAGGUUAUGAGGGCCUGAACUUUGAGGAGGACUGGAAGCUUUUGACCAUCCUCAUGGGGAUGAACGACAUCUGUGAUUACUGCAAGGAUAAGG